This 1269-nucleotide ribosomal RNA is filed under the name uncultured fungus. Its description in RNAcentral is "eukaryotic LSU rRNA". The stretch from base 637 to 1269 matches the Rfam family "Eukaryotic large subunit ribosomal RNA", at positions 1 to 649 of the family's 3401-position model. The record is from RNAcentral. Lineage: Eukaryota; Fungi.
AAGUCGUAACAAGGUUUCCGUAGGUGAACCUGCGGAAGGAUCAUUACACGAUCUCCGGCAGGCGGCCCCGAGAGGGGUUGCCUGACGGUAUCAAAACACCCCCCUGUGUACCUCUCCAUGUUGCUUCCCCAGGUCGGCAGCCUUUGCCUGCCCGGCGUACCUGUCCCAAGUGGGACCGGUCGCCGGAGGUGCCUGGGGGAGGACCAACCCCAAUCUCGGUUUAUCCAGCAGAAGAGAAGUCUGACUUGGCCACGCGCCAUCAGUAUUAACGUACUUAAAACUUUCAACAACGGAUCUCUUGGUUCUCGCAUCGAUGAAGAACGCAGCGAAAUGCGAUAAGUAAUGUGAAUUGCAGAAUUCAGUGAAUCAUCGAAUCUUUGAACGCACAUUGCGCCCUUUGGCAUUCCUUAGGGCAUGCCUGUUCGAGCGUCACUAAAAACCCCAUCACUUCCAGUGUGGUGUUGGCGGCAGUGGUGCCAGCACGGAGGAUCUUCUCCCCGUCGGCCCACUCCACCGAAAUGAAUCAGGCGGACAAACUGAUCUCAGCAACUGACUUAGUAAAAUCAAUCAGUCGGGAGUGAGGUUAUGUCCCGCCAAGAUUUGGACCCCCCAUCCAAUGAUACACAAAUCCUGGGUUGACCUCGGAUCAGGUAGGGAUACCCGCUGAACUUAAGCAUAUCAAUAAGCGGAGGAAAAGAAACCAACAGGGAUUGCCUCAGUAACGGCGAGUGAAGCGNCAAGAGCUCAAAUUUGAANUCUGGCGUCCCCGACGUCCGAGUUGUAAUUUGGAGAGGCAUCUUCUGGAGGGGCCCAGCCUAUGCUCCUUGGAACAGGACGUCAUAGAGGGUGAGAACCCCGUUCUCGGCUGGAUGUCCCCACCUGCAUGUAGUGUCUUCUACGAGUCGAGUUGUUUGGGAAUGCAGCUCAAAAUGGGUGGUAAAUUUCAUCUAAAGCUAAAUAUUGGCGAGAGACCGAUAGCGCACAAGUAGAGUGAUCGAAAGAUGAAAAGCACUUUGAAAAUAGAGUCAAACAGUACGUGAAAUUGUUGAAAGGGAAGCGCUUGAGACCAGACUCGGCCUUGGACAAACAGCCUCCCUUCUGGUUGGUGCACUUGCCCUCGGCCGGGCCAGCAUCAGUUGGGACGGCGGGAUAAAGGCCACGGGAAUGUGGCUCCUCUCGGGGAGUGUUAUAGCCCUGGGUGCCAUGCCGCCUGUCCCGACUGAGGACCGCGCUUCGGCAAGGAUGCUGGCGUAAUGGUCUUCAGCGACC